RNAcentral lists this unclassified non-coding RNA (238 nucleotides) under plant metagenome. RNAcentral's name for it is "partial contains small subunit ribosomal RNA and internal transcribed spacer 1". The stretch from base 1 to 46 matches the Rfam family "Eukaryotic small subunit ribosomal RNA", at positions 1786 to 1831 of the family's 1831-position model. The record is from RNAcentral.
AAGUCGUAACAAGGUUUCCGUAGGUGAACCUGCGGAAGGAUCAUUACGUUCAGUAGCCUAGCUACUGUCAGUGGGGCUCGUUAGUCUGCAUAGCUUAAACGCUGAUGAGCAGCAGGCCCCCCUUGUCUUCACCCUUGUUUUUUGCGUCCCAUGUUUCCUCGGUGGGCUUGCCCGCCGGCUGGACAAACUAUAACCUAUUUAAUUUCAAUCAGCGUCUGAAAUAAUUUAAUAAUUACAA